GUACUAGAAAUGAAAAAUCAUGUAUAGUUUCGGCCUAUAUUUUAAUAGCUUUUGCUAUUCUAGUAUU
RNAcentral lists this transfer RNA (67 nucleotides) under Leptochiton nexus. RNAcentral's name for it is "tRNA-Arg". The record is from RNAcentral. Lineage: Eukaryota; Metazoa; Mollusca; Polyplacophora; Lepidopleurida; Lepidopleuridae.